RNAcentral lists this long non-coding RNA (275 nucleotides) under Parus major (Great Tit). Its description in RNAcentral is "lncRNA (ENSPMJG00000003583.1)". Lineage: Eukaryota; Metazoa; Chordata; Aves; Passeriformes; Paridae. The record is from RNAcentral.
AUGUACAUCAUCAACCCCUGCACUGAAAGGACUUUUGAACCUCAGAUAAGAUGCUUCCACCAGGUGCAGCCAGGCCUCUGUGGUGCUUUGCACUGCGCAGAAGUGAGCUCUCCUCCAGGGACACUCAAUCCAAGGCAGACAAAGAAAACAGGGAGAAAAACAAGCACCUGGCAGAGAAGUGCCAAGCCACAGGCAACAGGAUAUGGGAAUGUCUCCUCCCUGCCCUGCUCAUUGCACUGUGACACUUUUCAAAUAAUGAACCUCCUGUACCUGGU